GGAUUAGAUACCCUGGUAGUCCACGCCGUAAACGAUGUCAACUAGCCGUUGGAGAUCUUAGUAUCUUUAGUGGCGUAGCUAACGCGCUAAGUUGACCGCCUGGGGAGUACGGUCGCAAGAUUAAAACUCAAAUGAAUUGACGGGGGCCCGCACAAGCGGUGGAGCAUGUGGUUUAACUCGACGCAACGCGAAGAACCUUACCUGGUCUUGACAUCCUGCGAACCUUCUAGAGAUAGAUUGGUGCCUUCGGGAACGCAGUGACAGGUGCUGCAUGGCUGUCGUCAGCUCGUGCCG
Molecule: ribosomal RNA, 294 nt
Filed under: uncultured bacterium
Lineage: Bacteria
Description: partial 16S ribosomal RNA
Rfam family: Bacterial small subunit ribosomal RNA
Source: RNAcentral